UGGGGAAUUUUGGACAAUGGGGGAAACCCUGAUCCAGCCAUCCCGCGUGUGCGAUGAAGGCCUUCGGGUUGUAAAGCACUUUUGGCAGGAAAGAAACGUCAUGGGUUAAUACCCCGUGAAACUGACGGUACCUGCAGAAUAAGCACCGGCUAACUACGUGCCAGCAGCCGCGGUAAUACGUAGGGUGCAAGCGUUAAUCGGAAUUACUGGGCGUAAAGCGUGCGCAGGCGGUUCGGAAAGAAAGAUGUGAAAUCCCAGAGCUCAACUUUGGAACUGCAUUUUUAACUACCGAGCUAGAGUGUGUCAGAGGGAGGUGGAAUUCCGCGUGUAGCAGUGAAAUGCGUAGAUAUGCGGAGGAACGCCGAUGGCGAAGGCAGCCUCCUGGGAUAACACUGACGCUCAUGAACGAAAGCGUGGGGAGCAAACAGG
This 429-nucleotide ribosomal RNA is filed under the name Acidobacteriota bacterium. Its description in RNAcentral is "Acidobacteria bacterium partial 16S ribosomal RNA". It matches the Rfam family "Bacterial small subunit ribosomal RNA", at positions 355 to 776 of the family's 1533-position model. Lineage: Bacteria; Pseudomonadati; Acidobacteriota. The record is from RNAcentral.